GAAAUGCGAUAAGUAAUGCGAAUUGCAGAAUCUAGUGAGUCAUCGAAUCUUUGAACGCAUAUUGCGCCUACUAGCUAUUCUAGUAGGCAUGCCUAUUUGAGCGUCAUUUAAAGCAUUUAUACCCUGUAUACUGUUGGAGAAUAGCGAAUAAACGACGCUAUCUCUAAAAUAAAGAAGCAAGCAAUUCAACUUCUCUUCUUGUAGAGUAAAAGCUACAAAUGCAAGAAGUCGAGGAAAGGAAGGCUUUAAAUAUAAACCUAUAAGUUGACCUCAAAUUAGGUAGGAAUACCCGCCGAACUUAA
Molecule: ribosomal RNA, 302 nt
Filed under: Ophiocordyceps nutans
Lineage: Eukaryota; Fungi; Ascomycota; Sordariomycetes; Hypocreales; Ophiocordycipitaceae
Description: eukaryotic LSU rRNA
Rfam family: 5.8S ribosomal RNA (bases 1-106)
Source: RNAcentral